GAGUUUGAUCCUGGCUCAGAUUGAACGCUGGCGGCAGGCCUAACACAUGCAAGUCGAGCGGUAGAGAGAAGCUUGCUUCUCUUGAGAGCGGCGGACGGGUGAGUAAUGCCUAGGAAUCUGCCUGGUAGUGGGGGAUAACGCUCGGAAACGGACGCUAAUACCGCAUACGUCCUACGGGAGAAAGCAGGGGACCUUCGGGCCUUGCGCUAUCAGAUGAGCCUAGGUCGGAUUAGCUAGUUGGUGAGGUAAUGGCUCACCAAGGCGACGAUCCGUAACUGGUCUGAGAGGAUGAUCAGUCACACUGGAACUGAGACACGGUCCAGACUCCUACGGGAGGCAGCAGUGGGGAAUAUUGGACAAUGGGCGAAAGCCUGAUCCAGCCAUGCCGCGUGUGUGAAGAAGGUCUUCGGACUGUAAAGCACUUUAAGUUGGGAGAAGGGCAGUAAAUUAAUACUUUGCUGUUUUGACGUUACCGACAGAAUAAGCACCGGCUAACUCUGUGCCAGCCGCCG
Molecule: ribosomal RNA, 512 nt
Filed under: uncultured bacterium
Lineage: Bacteria
Description: bacterial SSU rRNA
Rfam family: Bacterial small subunit ribosomal RNA
Source: RNAcentral